Molecule: ribosomal RNA, 689 nt
Filed under: uncultured Bacteroidales bacterium
Lineage: Bacteria; Pseudomonadati; Bacteroidota; Bacteroidia; Bacteroidales
Description: bacterial SSU rRNA
Rfam family: Bacterial small subunit ribosomal RNA
Source: RNAcentral
AACGCUAGCUACAGGCUUAACACAUGCAAGUCGAGGGGCAGCAUGACCUAGCAAUAGGUUGAUGGCGACCGGCGCACGGGUGAGUAACACGUAUCCAACCUGCCCUUUACUCGGGGAUAGCCUUUCGAAAGAAAGAUUAAUACCCGAUAGCAUAAUGAUUCCGCAUGGUUUCAUUAUUAAAGGAUUCCGGUAAAGGAUGGGGAUGCGUUCCAUUAGGUUGUUGGUGAGGUAACGGCUCACCAAGCCUUCGAUGGAUAGGGGUUCUGAGAGGAAGGUCCCCCACAUUGGAACUGAGACACGGUCCAAACUCCUACGGGAGGCAGCAGUGAGGAAUAUUGGUCAAUGGGCGUUAGCCUGAACCAGCCAAGUAGCGUGAAGGAUGAAGGCUCUAUGGGUCGUAAACUUCUUUUAUAUAAGAAUAAAGUGCAGUAUGUAUACUGUUUUGUAUGUAUUAUAUGAAUAAGGAUCGGCUAACUCCGUGCCAGCAGCCGCGGUAAUACGGAGGAUCCGAGCGUUAUCCGGAUUUAUUGGGUUUAAAGGGAGCGUAGGUGGACUGGUAAGUCAGUUGUGAAAGUUUGCGGCUCAACCGUAAAAUUGCAGUUGAUACUGUCAGUCUUGAGUACAGUAGAGGUGGGCGGAAUUCGUGGUGUAGCGGUGAAAUGCUUAGAUAUCACGAAGAACUCCGAUUG